GAUGGUUGGAUGAGGAAUUUACUUUCUUUAUUUUAAAAAUUAAAUUUAAUUUUUGAGUUAAAAAGCUUAAGUUUAUUUAAAGGACGAGAAGACCCUAUAGAACUUUACUUUUCUUUUUAUAGGUUUAUUUUUUGUAAGUAAUUUUUUACUAUUUUGGGAAAAGUUUUAUUGGGGUGAUAAAAAAAAAUUUUUAACUUUUUUUAUUUUUCUCAUUUAUUUAUGAUUUUUUGAUCCUUUAUUAUGGAUAAUAAGAUUAAGUUACCUUAGGGAUAACAGCGUUAUUAUUUUAGAGAGUUCAUAUCGAUAAAAUAGUUUGCCACCUCG
RNAcentral lists this ribosomal RNA (324 nucleotides) under Compsidolon absinthii. RNAcentral describes it as "partial 16S ribosomal RNA". Lineage: Eukaryota; Metazoa; Arthropoda; Insecta; Hemiptera; Miridae. The record is from RNAcentral.